This 112-nucleotide ribosomal RNA is filed under the name Olea europaea subsp. europaea. The record is from RNAcentral. Lineage: Eukaryota; Viridiplantae; Streptophyta; Magnoliopsida; Lamiales; Oleaceae.
CAUAAUGACUGCACCACGUUGAAUACAGCAUUCGCGGCCGAACACUUAAGCGACGUCGCGUGUGAAGAGUACCCGGAUGGGUGACCGCCUGGGAGAUCACGUGUUGUUGGUU